This 1370-nucleotide long non-coding RNA is filed under the name Manihot esculenta (cassava). RNAcentral describes it as "long non-coding RNA (MESC_LNC009427)". Lineage: Eukaryota; Viridiplantae; Streptophyta; Magnoliopsida; Malpighiales; Euphorbiaceae. The record is from RNAcentral.
CCACCGUCCACGGCAGAUCUCGACUUGCGAACAUCAAUCAGCCGUGAUAACAUUCCACACUUAAGCAAUUUACUCACAAACGCUCGGAUACUUCUAGUCAGCUAGUAGCCAUAGAAAGCACUCACUAGUCACUACUCACAGCAACCAUUAAAACGACAAAGAUGCAGUGCAGAUAGGGAAACAAAACGACAAUAUUUACAUGGCAACCCUAGUUGACCGACACCUCAGCGAUGCUUGCUUCUGGUUUCUCCACUGUAAAGCCUGCAAUGAUCACAUGCAACCCACCUCAUUUUAAAAUCAAAACCAAAUAGUCAGGGUUGGAAAAUGAAAUUCUAGAAUUGUAGAUCUUUGCCAUCUGAUGAGAAAAGUAAAUAGAUCUAAAGGCUUGAAUCCACUGAAGCACAAAUUAGCGUUCGACAAAAAUACCAGACACUCGAGACUCGCAUGCAUGCAAAAAGAAGAUGAAGAUCUAUUCCCAUGCGCCACUAUAACACCUGAAAAUAUCUCGAGAUGUAUAGUACAGAGCCAAAGAUCCUUCUCAUCUCGUGUGUGCUUGCAAAGAAAAGCAAAGAGAAAAGAAAAACUAAAAAGAAAAAGAAGUCAAGAACCCAUCCACCUCUUUUUUUUUCCCAUCCAGGUUAACCAAACAUGCAUAGCUCUGAAAGCUGAUAUGAAACUAUGGAGGAUCAAUUUAUAUACCAGUCAUAGACAGUGGGGGAGUUAGGCUGUGGCUUGUCGAAGAGCUGAGCACCGAGACCCUUAGUGGCAAGGUUGCUACCAGGGUGGAAAACGCUCCUCCAUACGUUGUCCUUGCGAACCGAAGCCGGAGUUGUGGGCGUCACCGGUGUGGUAGGUGUCCCAGGACUUGCUGGCAUGGAUAUGGACCUCUGGAACUUGCUCGUCUCUCCUCCCCCACCUACAGAAAUCAAAGGAAAAUAUCAUCCAUGAAUACAAGAUAAACUAUUUACUUCUAAUUGAUGGUUAAAGACUUGGGUUUUGUCAGCUCUAGUGAUACCUAUGGUCAGGGGCUUGGUGCUGAUCUUUCUGAGCUUGCCAAGGCCACGAUCGGGCUGAGGCCCGGCAACGACGUCAUCCCACAUCUUGUCGAGCAACAUCUUUCUUCCUCCUUUUUUAGCUUGCUGAGGCCUGAGUGAGGGUUUCAGUAAGGUGCCUGGACCAGAUUAUAUAGAGAGUAUGAGAGCGGGUCUCAAAUAUCUAUUAUUGAUGGGAAGUUUCCAGACAGGAUUUUCCUACUUCCAGGCACGAUUUUCUCGGGUAUAAUAACAAAAUAAAGGAUUGAUGGAAUAAUGGAAAUUAUUCACUUAUACAUCCUCAAAUAUUAUCGUUCUAUAAUACAUGCGAUUUAAGAC